UGGGGAAUAUUGGACAAUGGGCGAAAGCCUGAUCCAGCCAUGCCGCGUGUGUGAAGAAGGUCUUCGGAUUGUAAAGCACUUUAAGUUGGGAGGAAGGGCAGUAAGCGAAUACCUUGCUGUUUUGAUGUUACCGACAGAAUAACCACCGGCUAACUUGGCGCCAGCAGCCGCGGUAAUACAGAGGGUGCAAGCGUUAAUCGGAAUUACUGGGCGUAAAGCGCGCGUAGGUGGUUCGUUAAGUUGAAUGUGAAAGCCCCGGGCUCAACCUGGGAACUGCAUCCAAGACGGGCGAGCUAGAGUAGGGCAGAGGGUGGUGGAAUUUCCUGUGUAGCGGUGAAAUGCGUAGAUAUAGGAAGGAACACCAGUGGCGAAGGCGACCACCUGGGCUCAUACUGACACUGAGGUGCGAAAGCGUGGGGAGCAAACAGG
Molecule: ribosomal RNA, 429 nt
Filed under: Pseudomonadota bacterium
Lineage: Bacteria; Pseudomonadati; Pseudomonadota
Description: Proteobacteria bacterium partial 16S ribosomal RNA
Rfam family: Bacterial small subunit ribosomal RNA
Source: RNAcentral